Long non-coding RNA from Rhinichthys klamathensis goyatoka, 456 nucleotides. RefSeq lists it as uncharacterized. The transcript has 3 exons. Lineage: Eukaryota; Metazoa; Chordata; Actinopteri; Cypriniformes; Leuciscidae. The record is from RefSeq and is a predicted model, not a curated record.
ACCCUCCGGCACUGGCUCCAUCUGUCAUAGAAUGUCUCUUCUUCAGAGUGGGCAGAGACAUCAGUGAGCCAAAGGCGAUACAGACUGAGCGUCGCGAUACAGCAGUUUCGCAUGGAAGAAUCUCACACAACCAAAUUAAUUCAGCAAUUAUCCUGACAUCCUGCUAACAUGCUACACAACCUUACGGCCCCAGAUUUGUUGAAGGCUGGUAAUGGGUUAAGAAGAAACCUUUUGCUGCUGUUCUGGUGUGUCCUAGAUGCCAGCUGAGGACCUACAUGAUGUGUUUCUCAUGUAUGUGAAUCCCCAUCAGGACCAUCUGCCAGUGCUUGGACAUGAGCCAUUACAGAAGGUGAUAUAAAAUCAGAUGUCAGGUGAGUUACCUCCAGCUUCUUUAUUGCCAGAUCAGCAGUCCCAAGGUCAGAAGCUGCACUCAGAGUCUCAGUGCGUCAGCGCUUU